RNAcentral lists this ribosomal RNA (138 nucleotides) under uncultured bacterium. Its description in RNAcentral is "partial 16S ribosomal RNA". It matches the Rfam family "Bacterial small subunit ribosomal RNA", at positions 382 to 512 of the family's 1533-position model. The record is from RNAcentral.
CCUGAUGCAGCCAUGCCGCGUGUGUGAUGAAGGCCUUCGGGUUGUAAAGUACUUUUGGCAGGGAAGAAAGGGUAUCCCCUAAUACGGGAUACUGCUGACGGUAUCUGCAGAAUAAGCACCGGCUAACUACGUGCCAGC